Non-coding RNA from Salmo salar (Atlantic salmon), 5638 nucleotides. The record is from RefSeq and is a predicted model, not a curated record. Lineage: Eukaryota; Metazoa; Chordata; Actinopteri; Salmoniformes; Salmonidae.
AGUUCUGCUUGAGAUGACCGUUAGACCCGAUUACGUGUUUUUACGUAUGAGUUUAGCUAGCCAACGCCUUCAUGGCCUCGCCUACACGUAUGGUUUGAGAUUUCGAUUAGAGAAGCAGUUUAAGACUGGCCCAUUUUUGCCUGUCUUCAUACUGUUCUGUCUUUGAUUUGUCUUUUGACAGACUUUCCUUUCCCGGAAGAGAGUGUAAACAUCGGGGACCACGUGACAUCUAACGGACAGGGAUUUAAAGGCACAGGAAAAAGCAUAUUGCAUGAAAACUUUGGUUAAAAAUAACAGGAGUAGCUGGAAUUUGUUUAUCAUAAUUGUCAGUGUUAACAAACAAAAACAUAUGGUGUUUGUUUGCACCCCUUUUCCAAAGUACUGUUACAUGUUUCCAUGUUUCUGCAGGAGGUUGGAAAUUGUUGCUAACGAUACUGCACAACUAUAUUGGCGAAAUGAGCAGUACGAGAAGAAUGAAUCAACAUUAGGACCAUGUCUCAGAUCUCAGCUGAGGAGUCUGAACUUCAGUCUGUUGAGGCAACUGCUAAAAAGCAUCAAGACAGAAUCUCAGGUGCAUCUACCAAUUUAAUGUGCAGAGGAAAUAUUGCUUAAUCUGGAGAUGGACAAGACCUUCUUUAUGGCAGCCCCUCGCACCUCUCUGGUUCAGAGGGGUUGGGUUAAAUGCAGAAGACAUAUUUCAGUUGAAUGCAUUCAGUUGUACAACUGACUAGAUACAAGCAAAUGAUGCAGACACUGAAGAACACGGCGAUGGUAGUUGUUGAACCAUUGAUGAAUACAUUUGAAGAGGACCAACUGAGAAAGGAGGAGAUGCACAGGAAGAGCCAACAUCAUCAGUCAAACAGCCAUUACACAGACAACUGCUCCGACAGUAAUUCUUCCUUCAAUCAGGUACCAUGUUAAAUAAAUAGCCUACAAGUCACUCUUGCAAAGUGAGGAUCCACCCAACUAUCCAUUGAAUGGCUUUUUAUACACUAACGGACCAGUAUCAUUAUGCUGUAUAAACAUAUAUUUUGUUGAUCUGGAUAAGUAAUACUAAUACACUUGUAAAUCAUUACAUUAUAGGCUUAAGUUGUUUGUGUUGCCUCUGAGUUGAGUUUGCAAUCAGUGUCAUAUAUGCUGUUUAAUUAUAACUCACGAGCACAAAAAAGUGAAUGUACAGUAAUUACACAUUAACUACAGUUGCAAAUGUUUCCUUAGGGUUUACUUAUUUAUCAAACAAUAGCAGCUGCAAGUACUUGCUGAAAGGUUGGACCCUAGUAGGCCUAAAGAGUUAAAAGGAUUUCAAUAUGAUUUCUAUUCGGUAUAAUUUGCUAGAUUAUUACUAGAUUGGUAAAAAUGUUAUUAAUUGCGUCCAAUGUUGUGUGGUCUCUGAGAGUGACAGUGAUGUUGUGUGCAAGUGCACUGGGAGGCCAUGCAGGGUCUGUGUGGUGCAUAGCCCUCGGAUGUGCUGAGCUGUGGGAGUUGGAGCAGCCUGCGUAGGAACCUCUCAGCUGCACUGGCUGACCCAGACCCUGACCUCAGUGGUAAGGUCCUGUGCUUUUUAUCAAAAACAUUCUCUUCUCCACUGAAUGUAACAAGGGAGACACAAGAGAGAUACAACAGUUUAGCUAAAAGUCUGGAGUCUGACUUCAUGUACCUUAAACUGGGGCUCCCGAAUGGCGCAGCGGUCUAAGGCACUGCAUCGGUGCUUGAGGCGUCACUACAGACACCCUGGUACGAUUCCAGGCUGUAUCACAACGGGCCGUGAUUGGGAGUUCCAUAGGGCGGUGCACAAUUGGCCCAGAUUCGUCUGGGUUAGGCCCGUAUAGGCCGUCAUUGUAAACAAGAAUUUGUUCUUCACUGACUUGCCUAGUUAAAUAAAGGUAAAAAAUAAAUUAACUGACUGGAUCGGUUGGGAUUGAUGUAAACAGACCGGACAUUACCCGUCUUCUAAAACAAGAAUGCACCCUCUGUAAUGUGAUACUUGCAUGGCAGUUAUACCCAUAUGAAUAUGAUAUAGUUUUUAUUGACAUUUAUUUUUCCACCAGAUGAGACUAACGAAUGAUUUUCAGAAGGAAGUGACAACCUUUUGGAUUCGCCACCCAGAAAAGUACAUGGAGGAGAUAAUAGAGUACUUUCUCCUUCCUGUCCUUACACUCUGAACAUGGCUUAGGCACACAAGGGUCAGAGAAAGCCUUGCACCUCAUUGCCUUACUGGAUAUCAAAGCCACAUAGUUUAAGAAGUGGAUGGUGAGCACAAUAUUAACCUUGCUUCUCUAAACACUACAAGAAACCAAUCCCCCCCACCCAUAAGUAGUCUAACCAAUUGUCGGUGCUGAGUGAAGAUGAUGUCAGUCCUGUCUCUUCAAGCACGGUUACUACAGCAGGACCGUGGUCUACAGGCUUCUGGAGAUGAAGUACAAGUCUCUGAUUGUAGCAGCUCUUCAGCAGUGUGUCUAUUGAGUCCUGUGACCCAUUCAUAGACGAGACAGCUGAGGUCAUCUACUCUAUCGAGAACCAGCACAUCAGCAUUGCUAAAAGUACUCUACACUGCCAAAAAGCUGGAAUACACUUAUUUUGUUCACUCAUUACGUGUGCUAGGAAGGCUUCUCAUGUACAUUAAUGGGAGAAAGCUCCUUCCCAUCAAAGUGGGGAAAUGCAAAGAUCCAGUCAGUCUGACAGACCUGGUUGUCAUUCUGAUUAGCAUCAUGUACCAGCACCCCAAGCCUCCUCACAGUGACUCGUUACCUGCAGGCCAAAUUAAACUCCCCAGAAACUGCACUCAUAUAGCAGACACUCUCGCAAGAAUUGCCACCACGGAGUGAGGAUUGUCGCUUUUCUUAUAUGAAAGAAAUCUAGUUUCUGCCGAGAGUGAAGGAGUGGUUUGGGAGGAGACUUUCCUGAACUUGAACCUGCUGAACUUUUCUGCCACUCCGAAAGUCCUGCUGCUCCUCCAGCAUACUCCAGGUUCACCAAGAAACUACAGGCAAGACCAUGUGACAAGUUUGGCUACGGUGUGAGGGUGACACAGGUAGCAGCAACAGCCCCUGGUGUGGUGGCAUUACACAGCUCAGUCGUUCAUGUCCAUGGUCAACCUUCUGUCCUCCCCCCAUGCUGGUGGGAGCUCUUGGGACAGCAGCCUCUGCCCAAUAAGGCUGAGUACAACCUAAGGGAGAUGCCCAUCUCCCUCACAGAUUUGAUUGAUAGGCUGAUUGCUGUGAAUUCAAUGUGAAAAUUCAUUCACUGUUCAACUAUGAGCAAUCUCACACGUUUGGCCUGAGAUUACUAAGUGUGAGGUGCUGCAACCUAGACUCCCUCCUGCAUCUGAAGUCACAGUACAACAUUUACGACAUGUUGUUGCAGUGUCAGAAGGACAACAUCACCGAUACAUUGUCUGGUGAAGGGUAUUUGAAAAGCUGUUUGUUUUCCUGUGCCUCAUAAUGUUAUGACAGGCUGUGGUUCCACUGUUAGUCUAAUCACGACAAAAUGAGAAAUUGAUCAUUUGCCUUGUCACAGUAAAAUGAAAUAAAGCGUAAACAAAAGGCCAUUUCCAAAAGUGUCUUUUGAAUGCCUCCAUAAUGGAUAUUGUGACUGGUCAUGAAUUGAAAUGCUGUGAAUUGUCUGGUCACAAAAUAAAUGUGCCUGCAAGCACGCCAGUUUUGUUUCUGAAUUAGAGAUCACCUAAUUUCUCCUCCCAUUUUUAUAUUCCCUCCCCCAUCUUCAUCACUGAUGGUCUGUCUGUUGAGAGGAACCACAUCCUGGUGCGUAUGAGUGUGAUUGGAGGACUAUCGGAGAGGAGACUUCCCCCUAGGGCCCUCCAGAAGACUAUGAGAUAAGUGCCUUCCUGGCCUCCACCAAGGACACAGAGAAGGAUGGGAGCUGGAUGGAUACCUGCAGGAGACAAUACUGUAAAGUCAUGACCACCAAGUCCAACUUUGUCUCAGCAAAUGGGGGUGAUAUAUUAUGAUGUUAUGUAUAAAAAAAUAUAUUCCUGGUCAGGUCACAUGGUCAGAGCGAGGAAAAAAAAAAUUGCUUUGAAUAGUUUAUCAAUAAAACCUGUGAAUCCAUAUUUCACUGUUCUUGCCAUUCCGAUAUGCUACAAUCCACACUGUAUUUGAGAAUUAUAGCACUGUUGGGUUAACUCAUCUGUUUUAUAUUCAAACUACAGACAGGGACCAGAGUUUGUUAACAUUUGAUAGUCCAUUACAUUGCCAUGAAUAAAUGGAUGAUAGAUUUGUCAGUGGAUGAAAUGAUAGGCCCAUAUUGGGUGUGCUGCUAGACUACUAGAUAAUGAAGAACCAAUAUCUGCCUACAACUGCAAAUGUAUAGAUGAUCACUUUGCCUGGGUAACAGUAAAUAAUGGUAAAGAUGACUAAUUUACCCACAUAAGAUUUUAAUUUACUGUACAUAUACUGUACUGUUGCACUCUCUGAGGGUGUUUAUGUCAUUGAUUGGUUGCUAUUCAUUGAAACCGUCAUGAUUAGGUGUCAUUGUGUGUUCAAUUGCUUCCUCUGAAUGUCACUCUUAAGAGUUCCAUUUUGAGUUAUUGGUUGUGAAGGGAUUGCGGUGUACAGAGUAAGAGACUUCAUGAUUGCUUAUUUCAUUCAGAGACAAAGAAGCACCCAGGACAAAGGCUUUUGAUGUAUCUUAGAAAUAAGAAAAAAUGUCUACACAGAGCUUCCUUUCUUUGUAUAAUAGAUAAACAAGAUGCUUGAUUACCUUACGAUUUUCCCUGCUGUGUGUAUAGUAAAGGCAGCACAAUUUGUACUUGCCUGAUGUUGCAUUGAAGAUAAAUGGCUUUUCCAAGGUCUCUGUGAUGUUCCUAAAACCUACUGUGUGUUUCCUGUCUCCGCCCCAGUCCUGGCUGAUCCACUGUGUGUUUCCUGUCUCCGCCCCCAGUCCUGGCUGAUUGACUGUGUGUUUUCUGUCUCCGCCCCAGUCCUGGCUGAUCCACUGUGUGUUUCCUGUCUCCGCCCAGUCCUGGCUGAUCCACUAUGUGUUUCCUGUCUCCUCACCAGUCCUGGCUGAUCUACUGGAGAAGGCUGUGUUGCACCUCUCUGCUUCGCUGUCAGAGCAUUUCUUCCCGCCUGCACAAUACAAAGCAUCGGAGAGCGGCGUAAAGGCUGGCAGCCUGUCAUCUGUGGACCAGCUGGGGAUUCAGGCCUCUCUCAGCAUCAUGACUGGCCGCUUCCACUCCCCUGCUGUACGUGCCUGUCAAUCACAUUGAGAAGGCCCACUGCGUCCAGCCUCAGCCCCCUCAAUCUGUAACCCUUCUCUCCUGCUGCCUACUGAGACUGACCUGUGGUGCGCUAGGUAAGAUGCUGUGGUUGUUAUAGUGGACCUCUCCCUAACAUGGCUGGAGAAAUGGAAAGAGAGAGAGAGAGAGACACAUUUUUCUGCAUGUUUUUUCAAAAAGAUAGAUUUAGAGUUAGAUAAACUUGGAUUUUUUGGCAAGGACAUAUACAGGAUACUACCCUCCACAACAUAACCUUCACUCCAAAUCAAAACUCCAAACCUACAACCUGAUUUUGGACAAAAUUACCUGGAAAGAUUCCUACUACCAAAGAUGCCUAUUUCCAAGCUAUACAGCAUAUACUCUGGCAAACAAACAACAUAAACCUGAAAACACCAUCCAACC